GACGAACGCUGGCGGCGUGCUUAACACAUGCAAGUCGAACGGAAAGGCCCUGCUUUUGUGGGGUGCUCGAGUGGCGAACGGGUGAGUAACACGUGAGUAACCUGCCCUUGACUUUGGGAUAACUUCAGUAAACUGGGGCUAAUACCGGAUAGGAGCUCCUGCUGCAUGGUGGGGGUUGGAAAGUUUGGGCGGUUGGGGAUGGACUCGCGGCUUAUCAGCUUGUUGGUGGGGUAGUGGCUUACCAAGGCUUUGACGCGUAGCCGGCCUGAGAGGGUGACCGGCCACAUUGGGACGGAGAUACGGCCGAGAAGACUACGGGAGGCAGCAGUGGGGAAUAAUGCACAAUGGGCGGAAGACUGAUGCAGCAACGCCGCGGGCGGGAUGACGGCCUUCGGGGUGUAAACCGCUUUCGCCUGUGAAGAAGCGGGAGUGACGGUAAUGGGUAAAGAAGCACCGGCUAACUACGUG
This 468-nucleotide ribosomal RNA is filed under the name uncultured bacterium. RNAcentral describes it as "partial 16S ribosomal RNA". It matches the Rfam family "Bacterial small subunit ribosomal RNA", at positions 28 to 507 of the family's 1533-position model. The record is from RNAcentral.